Molecule: long non-coding RNA, 532 nt
Organism: Aethina tumida (small hive beetle)
Lineage: Eukaryota; Metazoa; Arthropoda; Insecta; Coleoptera; Nitidulidae
Exons: 3
Source: RefSeq, a predicted model, not a curated record
UCGGUUGGGUGAGGUGAUGUGGUGGUCCGAGCCACCGUACCCUCCAAGUUAAUUCGGUGGUGCAGUUCGAUUUAGUGAAGUGACUCGUGUGUUCGAUUAGUGUUGUGAUUAGUGCCCUAUUGGAUAUACUGGAUACAACCCUGAAUUGCAAGGCCUUGGAUGGAUCUAGACUGUAACGACCAAACCACACAUUGGAAAGAUGAUAAGGGAACAGUGAAAGGGCACUAAAGGUAGAUCCAGAACGAGACUAGUUAGCCUGGCAACUGGCAACGCAAAGUUUUUUAUUACAGUAUUUGGGGUUCUUUUAUCAACUGUCAGUUUUUGAUCGAGUCGAUUUUAAUAGGUAAUUUGCUCUAGAUAGAACAAAUUACAAUGUUCUCCGAUAUACAUUAUUGGAUUAAAAUGAUUUCUUUCCAAAAGGAAAUAUUUUGUGAAGCUUGUAAAUGUUUCUAAUAAAUAAAGAUGUUUUUCUGGUGUGUAACUAAUAUACGUCAGAUAUUUUCUUUCAGCUUAAAUAAAUAAAACAAAACUU